Molecule: transfer RNA, 75 nt
Filed under: Pseudomonadota bacterium
Lineage: Bacteria; Pseudomonadati; Pseudomonadota
Also listed under: 2 other names
Description: Proteobacteria bacterium tRNA-Gln
Rfam family: tRNA
About the family: Transfer RNA (tRNA) molecules are approximately 80 nucleotides in length. Their secondary structure includes four short double-helical elements and three loops (D, anti-codon, and T loops).
Source: RNAcentral
UGGGGCGUCGCCAAGCGGUAAGGCACCGGGUUUUGAUCCCGGCAUACGUUGGUUCGAAUCCAGCCGCCCCAGCCA